This is a long non-coding RNA of Cyprinus carpio carpio, 1274 nucleotides long. The record is from Ensembl. NCBI's taxonomy places the organism in Eukaryota, Metazoa, Chordata, Actinopteri, Cypriniformes, Cyprinidae.
ACAUUCAAAGGUUUUUGUGCACAGUUGUAUAUCUACGAAUUGUGUUUUGCAUUUGUGAAAUGUAUUUUAUGAAUAUAUAUUUUUUUUCACGCACGUGAAUUUUUUUUGUGUGUACGUGAAUUAGGUUUCAUGCAUGUGAAAUUGUCUACGCAUGUGUGAAUCGUGUUUUUUGCGUGAAUUAUAUUUGAGACUAAUCUGCUUCCAUAUACACUUCCAAUUAAAAAAAUUGGGGUUAGUAAGAUUUUUUUUAUUUUUCCAAGAAAAAAAAUACUUUUUUUUCCAGCAAGUACACAUUAAAUUAACCAAAACUGUAAGUAAAGACAUUUUUAAAAUUACUAAAGAUUUUUAUUUCAAAUAACACAAAAUAGUUGUUUUCAUCGAUAAUGAUAAAAAAUGUUCCUUGAGCAGCAAGUCAUCAUAUUAGAGUGAUUUCUGAAGGAUCACGUGACACUGGAGAAAAGAUGCUGAAAAUUAAGAUUUGCAUCACAGGAAUAAAUUACAUUUCAAAAUAUAUUAAAAUAGAAAAAAGUUAAGUAGUAAUAACAUUUCAUAAUAUUACUGUUUUACAGUAUUUUUGAUCAAAUAGAUGCAACUUUUGAGAACAUAAGAAACUUCUUUGAAAAUAAGGAAAAAUCUUACCAACUCCAGACUUUUAAACAGUAAUGAAGUUUAGAUGAUUAGAGAAGAUUCACCAAGUACUUAAAGUUGCAACCAGAGUUGCAGUAUUUCUCAAAUUCAUAGAUCUGCUGAAGAAAUGCCAAGCAAUAAAGCAAAUUGCACUUAAAGCCCUCAAGGCUCUCCAUUAUUAGUCAGCUCAAAUCGCUGGAUGAAAACAAAUCUUUGGCAUAAGUGUUUUCAGAUUAAACCGUGUCUGCACAUCCAGACAUACCAGAUAUCAUCCGCACCUUAUUCAAAUACACAGUUUGAAUGUAAGUAACAUCUUAAAUUGAAUCAUGGUGGAAUGUAGAGGCUUUCAUUUAGUGGAAAUGUUUUCAUUAAUUAAAAGGGAAAUUUAAGUCUCUGUGUAUUUUGUCCCAGUCAACAAAACACUUAAAAAAAAAAAGCUCAAAGUGAUUUUCAUCAAAAGAUCCAUUUAGCUCAGAAAUGGUAAAAUGGGUACAACAUACCAUACCUUUGAUAUUAAUUGGGGCAAUAAUUUUAAUUUGUUUGUUUAUCUAGAGCACAAGCAACAACCAAAUCAUUCUAUUUGUUUUUGGGGAGAUUUUGCUAAUUAUAAGAAUUUGCAUGAGUAAGUUUCUCAGUUCUCAGUCUGU